UCCCAUCUGUUGGCUCAAUUUUGCAAAAUUUGCCAUCAUGUUUUUUUCAAAUUACAGUCUUGAUGUUCGCUCUUCUUCCAACAAUAUUUCCCUUUCAGCACGCUCUUCUUUUAACCUCUCCCCAAAUUGUUCUUUCUCAGCACGCUCCAAGUUAAUCCUCUCUUGUGUGUUUGCACGUUCAGCUUGUAGUUGAUCUUGUAAUUCGUUGACCUGCUGGCUGAGCUCAGAGUUUUGCUACUGGGUUGCUGCUGUAGCACGAGUUUGCUCUUCAAUCUGGAUCCAAAACCUUUCAAUGGCAGAAAUACUAAUCAAGUUAAUCAUAAGGCAUGUAAGCAUGAUGUAAUGAAUAUGGCAUGGAACACCAGCAAUGUGAAACUAGAACUACAGGAAGAACAAAAAACAGAGUAAAAUGUUUAAGAAAGGGAAAAUGGGCACUUCUGUCACAUCAAGAUCAGUAUAUUUCCUUGGAAAUAUCAUCAUAACCCUGUAAAGAACUAGGGCCGUCUCCAGAAAAUUGAGGCCCCUGUGCGAAAUGUGAAACGAGAACCUAAAAUUAGGAAAUGUCGUGCACGGCCAUUUGACUAGGGAGACGAAGAGUAUAGUCAGUGUUUCCUAUAUAUAUAUAUAUAUAUAUAUAUAUGGGUCUUUUUUAUAUAUGAAUUGAAAAUUUGUGUAUUGUUCAGAAUGAACUUGAAUUCAGGUAACUGGCGCUAUUUAUUUAUGGACUAUGGCUAACAACAAAUGAACUACAUGCCACAUAAUCAAAUUAAACCAACAUCUAAGUAGCCAAAAUGACUGAAAUUAUAAGGGGAAGCAAGCAUAUUAGGAAUAACAUAUAUACCUAAAACUUAAAGUUCUGACAUUGACAGAAGUAGCCAGUUUCAUUCAAAUCUAACUCUACAUAUAUACUCCAAAUCUAACUAGGUCUAGCUGUUUUGGGCAAGUUGCAUUGGAAAUUAAACUAAAAUAAUGCAUCUGUUCUAAUGUAGUGGUCUAGUAAAGCAUUGACUGUACAAGUUAUUUUCCACGCUCGUCUCAACUAGCAUGUUAGUGCCUCCUACUACUGACCAGUUCAAGAAGAGAGCCUCUAAUUACGAAAGAUUCCAGCCAUGAGAUGGGCAACAAAUAAACAUGACAGAAGGAAUUCCCAAUCAUACAAAAAAGGAACAUGGAAAUAAGAAAUAGCCAUGUGGUGAUGUCAGUAUGAACAAAAUACUUACAUGGACUAUGGGAAUGCGUCAGGCAAGGGAAACGUGCAUGCCUGCUUGUUCUGGUGACGGAUGACAGCAGAGGCACAACAACGAUGCUGCACUGCUCCAUGUACAAGAUCAUGGGCCUCGCCGCCCUAGGACACACAAAGGAACCAAGAUGCCGCUCGUAUCGGUGCGGCCGUCAGCCGUGACCAUGUACGAAACGAGCAGUUCGGGCACUCUCAGAUCCAUGGUGACAAAGAACACAUAUACAGGAUUCGAAGCCCCCUAAUUUUUGGGGGCCCUGUGCGGUCGCCCACCUCGCACAUCCUCGUCAACGGCC
RNAcentral lists this long non-coding RNA (1533 nucleotides) under Triticum aestivum (bread wheat). RNAcentral's name for it is "long non-coding RNA (TAES_LNC001816)". Lineage: Eukaryota; Viridiplantae; Streptophyta; Magnoliopsida; Poales; Poaceae. The record is from RNAcentral.